This 229-nucleotide long non-coding RNA is filed under the name Elaeis guineensis (African oil palm). RNAcentral's name for it is "long non-coding RNA (EGUI_LNC044031)". Lineage: Eukaryota; Viridiplantae; Streptophyta; Magnoliopsida; Arecales; Arecaceae. The record is from RNAcentral.
CCUGCACCCUGAAUAUGUUCAUGAGCAUAGAAUCAUGUCAAACUCAAACACAUAUUUAUAUCAGUUUUUAAUUAACCAAUGAUGACUCCAAUGAAGAAGUAUUAGAAACUCUUUCUAAUCUCUUUCCUACUUUUAGUUAAAAGAUUUUUUCUGAGUCAUCUAGGAAUGAGAAUACACAUGAUGCGAUCUCCUCUUACUAGGAGUGAUCAAUUCUAUGUUGACCUACUCA